Molecule: unclassified non-coding RNA, 649 nt
Filed under: Hevea brasiliensis (rubber tree)
Lineage: Eukaryota; Viridiplantae; Streptophyta; Magnoliopsida; Malpighiales; Euphorbiaceae
Source: RNAcentral
UUUUCAAUUGCUUCCAGAGCCUGCACAGAUCUUUUACGUCCUUCAAAGCUGAAUGGAUAUGUAACAACACCAACAGUCAAAUAACCUGCUUCUUUUGCUAUUUGAGCCACAACAGGAGCCGCACCAGAUCCUGUACCUCCACCCAUUCCUGCUGUUAUGAAAACCAUAUCUGAACCUUUCAGAGAAUUUGCAAUAGCUUCCUUUGACUCCUCUGCUGCCUGUUCCCCUAAAAGAGGAUUGCCACCAGUACCAAGCCCACGAGUCAGAAGUUCUCCAAUUUGAAGUGGGUUCUCGGCAGCAGACUGUACCAGUGCUUGAGCAUCCGUGUUUAUAGCAUAGAAGUCAACACCCUGUAAACCACUACCAAUCAUACGGUUAACGGCAUUGUUUCCACCUCCACCGACGCCGACGACCUUAAUUUUAGCAGAAUCCAUCGGAGUGAAUGAACUUGAAAUGCUGAAACGUUGAGGCCGGCAAAAACUUUUCCGGCGAACACCGGUGAAGAAGCAUUGUUUAGGAAUGAAGGAAGAAUGCAACCUAUGAGAAAAAGCUAAGGAAGAAGACGGAGAAGAAGCUAAUUCUGCUGGAUUUGAGAGCCCUAAAAUCGCCAUUGUUGCUUUCUCUGUAUUUUAGUUUACCCAAAAUUCUG